CCUACGGGAGGCAGCAGUGGGGAAUAUUGGUCAAUGGGCGCAAGCCUGACCCAGCAACGCCGCGUGAAGGAAGAAGGCUUUCGGGUUGUAAACUUCUUUUCUCAGGGACGAAGAAAGUGACGGUACCUGAGGAAUAAGCCACGGCUAACUACGUGCCAGCAGCCGCGGUAAUACGUAGGUGGCAAGCGUUAUCCGGAUUUAUUGGUUGUACAGGGGGUUUAGGCGGGAGCGCAAGUCAGAUGGGAAAACUCAGGGCUCAACCCUGAGCCUGCAUUUGAAACUGUGUUUCUUGAGUGCGGGAGAGGCAAGCGGAAUUCCGGGUGUAGCGGUGAAAUGCGUAGAUAUACGGAGGAACACCAGUGGCGAAGGCGGAUUGCUGGACAGUAACUGACGCUGAGGCGCGAAAGCGUGGGGAGCAAACAGGAUUAGAUACCCGUGUAGUC
Molecule: ribosomal RNA, 443 nt
Filed under: uncultured bacterium
Lineage: Bacteria
Description: partial 16S ribosomal RNA
Rfam family: Bacterial small subunit ribosomal RNA
Source: RNAcentral